This 230-nucleotide ribosomal RNA is filed under the name uncultured bacterium. RNAcentral's name for it is "partial 16S ribosomal RNA". It matches the Rfam family "Bacterial small subunit ribosomal RNA", at positions 562 to 791 of the family's 1533-position model. The record is from RNAcentral.
AAAGGGUCCGUAGGCGGACUCGUAAGUCAGUGGUGAAAUCUCAUAGCUUAACUAUGAAACUGCCAUUGAUACUGCGGGUCUUGAGUAAGGUAGAGGUAGCUGGAAUAAGUAGUGUAGCGGUGAAAUGCAUAGAUAUUACUUAGAACACCAAUUGCGAAGGCAGGUUACCAUGUCUUAACUGACGCUGAUGGACGAAAGCGUGGGGAGCGAACAGGAUUAGAUACCCCUGU